RNAcentral lists this ribosomal RNA (466 nucleotides) under uncultured bacterium. Its description in RNAcentral is "partial 16S ribosomal RNA". It matches the Rfam family "Bacterial small subunit ribosomal RNA", at positions 28 to 505 of the family's 1533-position model. The record is from RNAcentral.
GACGAACGCUGGCGGCGUGCUUAACACAUGCAAGUCGAACGGAAAGGCCCUGCUUUUGUGGGGUGCUCGAGUGGCGAACGGGUGAGUAACACGUGAGUAACCUGCCCUUGACUUUGGGAUAACUUCAGGAAACUGGGGCUAAUACCGGAUAGGAGCUCCUGCUGCAUGGUGGGGGUUGGAAAGUUUCGGCGGUUGGGGAUGGACUCGCGGCUUAUCAGCUUGUUGGUGGGGUAGUGGCUUACCAAGGCUUUGACGGGUAGCCGGCCUGAGAGGGGGACCGGCCACAUGGGGACGGGGAUGCGGCCCAGACGCCUACGGGAGGCAGCAGUGGGGAAUAUUGCACAAGGGGCGGAAGCCUGAUGCAGCAACGCCGCGGGGGGGAUGACGGCCUUCGGGUUGUAAACCGCUUUCGCCUGUGACGAAGCGUGAGUGACGGUAAGGGGUAAAGAAGCACCGGCUAACUACG